AGGCAGCUCUCCAUUCCCCUUGCUUCUCCAACCGGCCUUCUUGCUUCCUGAAAACAGGACUUAAAUACCCAUCCCUCCAGCCCCAGCGCACAUUCCCCCUGAACCAGCACUAUGAAGGCUGCGCAUGGCCUCCUCCUGCUUCUGGGUCUCCUCUUCCUCUUGACGGAGCUGCCCCCUUCGAUGGGAGAAUUAGUGAAGCCUGGGCUGUGUCCCAGGGCGACAACAGGUGCCAUUCGUCCUUGUACCCAGAGGUGUGAAAGUGACGAGGAUUGUCGGGGAAAGAAGAAGUGUUGCCUUUUUGCUUGCAGAGUUGUGUGCAAGGAUCCUGUCUAAGGAUCCUCUCGGUGAUGGCGGGGCCUUUCUGCACGGGAUCUUCAGCCUUUCCAAAUUGUGGCCAGUGCAUCAAUUUGACCCAAAGACCCUCCUUCUGUCCUGGGCCACUCUGCAGAGACCCUCUCCCCCCCCCAACCCACGCUGGAUUUCUUCCUUCUUUUCUGCAAUAAAGCAUUGGCUCCUCCUUCCCA
Long non-coding RNA from Crotalus tigris (Tiger rattlesnake), 524 nucleotides. RefSeq lists it as uncharacterized. The transcript has 3 exons. NCBI's taxonomy places the organism in Eukaryota, Metazoa, Chordata, Lepidosauria, Squamata, Viperidae. The record is from RefSeq and is a predicted model, not a curated record.